UCGCCGUCUCGUGCAACCAUCCUACCUAUCGCCGCGCGCCAACCUCUACCUGUCGUCGCGUGCGAACCUCUUCUUAUCGCCGCGCACCUCUCAUUCCCUCUACUACCCAUUGUUGUCUGCCCCAACCAGCCGCUCUUCCACCCUGCUGCAACCUCUCGCAGCCCUGUCUCUCUUGAUCACCUGAUGCGACCACUACAGCAGCCAUCGCCUCUUCCCUCUCUUCACCUCUCCCUGGACAGCCAUCACUCCAUCACCGCACAUUCUUCUUCAAACCACCAUUAGCUACACCAGCCACCCUAUCCUCUUCUUCUGUCACCCUGUUCUUCUCCUCUUCUAGCCACCAUCCCCAACCUUGCUCCGCCGCUUAACCGUCUGCCAUCAGCACCACUCAUCACCGUGCGCCAUCUUUUCGUCCACCAUCUCCGCCACUUCAGCUACCCUCUCUCUGUUCCGCCAUCUGCUGCACCCGGCUGCUCCCAUCUUCUUCGCUACUGCAUAACUGCACCUCCGCCUUUCUCUCACUCUUCAGCUCCGCCUCGUUCUCCACCUUGCUGCGAUUCUCUCACUUUCAUCUCCUCCGCCCUGCUGUGACCCAAUUCCAGCCAGCAGCUACGUCCCCGUACUCCUUCUUCUUCAUCUCACUGCCACUUUCCUCUCUCUACGUUUUUCCCGGCCACCCGCACUUAUGUGCGGUCCCAUUCUUGCCGGUCUUUCCAUCACUUCCUGCUGCGAUCACCAUCAGCAGCUCCAUCUUUCUCUGCCAUCACCAGUAGCGAGUCUCUCUCUUUGCCUCUGAUCAUCUGCGACCAAUCCUCCUUCCUACCUCCAGCUCCCGACCAUCCUUUGACUCUCCCAUUCCCCUGUUCUUUCUCUCUAG
RNAcentral lists this long non-coding RNA (877 nucleotides) under Amborella trichopoda. RNAcentral's name for it is "long non-coding RNA (ATRI_LNC004004)". The record is from RNAcentral. Lineage: Eukaryota; Viridiplantae; Streptophyta; Magnoliopsida; Amborellales; Amborellaceae.